UAUAAAACUUAGUUUUGAUUUGAAUUUAGAUGGAUGAACGGACUUAUAUGAUAAUUUUGUGAUUUUGUAAAGGUUUUAUUGUUUUUUGCUUAAAUAGGAGAAAAUAAAAUAAGACUAUGGUAUUAAAGUAUUCUUGAAAAUAUUUAUUUUUUACAACUUCAGCAUAAGAUAUUAAAAAUAAGAGAAUUCUUGAUUUAGUGAUUCAUUAGAUGGGUGGCUAAAAUCGUGCCAGCUGCCGCGGUUAGACGGGGACCUGAAUUUAAAUUUAUACGACAAAUGUAGAGAUAAAUAUUUAUUCAUCAAAAUUAACUGAUAGUAGAGGUUAAAUUCCAUACUGUUAUUUUUAUUUUUUCUUGGUGUGUUUUAGUUUCUACGAAACUCUAGUAAAAGACUGGGAUCAGAUACCCCAUUAUUUGGAAAGAAAAUUUUGUUGAAGUAUUACGAGUGUUUACUUAAAACUUAAAAAACAUGGCGGUAUUUGAGAUACAGUUAGGGGAACCUGUUGCAUAAAUGACGAUCCGCGUUUUACCUUUCUUUAUCUUGUUUUCAGCUUGUAUAUCGCCGUUAUCAGUUUACCUUGUGAAGGAUAUAAAGUAGGCGCGCAUCGAGUUCAGGUCAUGACGCAGCAAAUGGUAAAGUGCUUAUGGGUUACGAUUUAAAAUACAUUUGGAUAUAAAUUUUUAAUAGUUUAUUGAAAUAGGACUUAAUAGUAAUUAGUGUUUAGCAUGCAGUAAUGAACGUGUUUUUUAAGUAUGUACAAAUCGCCCGUCGCUCUCGUAUAAAAAUGAGAUAAGUCGUAACAUAGUAAAUGUAGCGGAAGCUGUAUUUAGA
RNAcentral lists this non-coding RNA (831 nucleotides) under Nierstraszella lineata. The record is from RNAcentral. Lineage: Eukaryota; Metazoa; Mollusca; Polyplacophora; Lepidopleurida; Nierstraszellidae.